CAUUUACCGAAAGCAGUCCCCUAUGGUUCAACUUCUCGUUCAUUCUCACCCGGCCUGAAUUCGGCAUCUAUAAAAUGGGGGUGAUCCUGUCUCACAGGGUCAUUGGAAGGAGAGUUUUCUACUGGGUCUCCGGAACAAGCUUUGCUCAACCAAAACAGGCUGCCUUUCAGGGUCCCACACAGCCAGGCAUGGAACAGGCAGCCACUGUGUUCCUGAAAUGAGACCAGCAUCUGUCUUUGAUCUGGGCUCUAUGCACAACAUGGACAAUGUGUGAGGACGGACGUGGCCAGGGGCCACCUGUCUCUGUAUCUUGGGCCAUUCAGAGCUCUGGGCCAGGUCAUUGUGAAGAACUACACUUCUCUGUAGGCCAUUAUGGUAAUAAAGAGUUUAGCAGACAAGGGCUCAGGACACGCCCCUUCUGUGCCCAGGCAGAGUGUGAUGUCAUCAGCAAAGCCAGCACGCAAGUUGGGGUCAGAGGACAGGGUGUCAACUCUCACCUCUUCACCUUGUUCGAGACGUCUCUCUGCUGGUGUGUGUGCCAGGCUACUGAGGAUUGCCCUGUGUCUGAUCCCCGUUCCCUAGUAGGGAUUACAUAUGUCUGCACGGUUGCAUCUACCGUGGGCUUUGAGGGUCUGAACUCCAGCUGUCAGGCUUACAUGUCAAUCACUUUGUCUCCUGAACCAUCUCCCCAGCCCCAUACUCCUCACCCUUGCUUUGAUGGUCAUCAAGCCCUUGGUAGUGGUCACGUGAUUUUAAGUCCUAUUCUCUUUGCCGUAGGGUCCUCCCUUCCAUUGAAUGCACUGCAUGGAUUUUCCCUGUUUUCCUGCGGUUGGACUCCAGGGCCUUGUGCAUAGGAGGCAAGCACUCCAACUCCGAGACACUGCCCUCGAUGGCUGGCUCUGAAUCAGAUCCUAUAACCAAAUACAGGCAUCCCCAUCUCUAAAAGCCUUCUGAGAUUGCAUCGGAGAUAAUGGAAGGCGCCUCCGCCUCCGUAGUUUAAACAGAAGGAGUUUUGCCUAGCAAGGAGCAUUAGCAGCCCUCAAACCUUCGAGAGGGGAGAAGCAGGCUGUGAGCUGAGCCUUAGGGAAAACCUCCAGUCCCCAGAAUCCUUCUGGGUCCCCUCCACCGUUACCAAGGAAACCAACAAAUUGGGAAGCUCCUUAAGCAUACCAAGCCAGUAAAAAGAGAAGCGCGCACCCCAUUUCUCUUCCUAUUUAAACUCUUUCCAAAGCCCAGUCCUGUUCGCGUGACUCUGGUUGGGGAAGGCUGAAUCGCAUCUGAAAGUCUUCCUCGCAAGAGGGUUAUAGGGAAAUUGGUUUUCUUUUCCUGGCUUCUUGGUAUAAAAAGGCACGCUUGAAGGAGGUUGGAAUAAAUGUUG
RNAcentral lists this long non-coding RNA (1378 nucleotides) under Mus caroli (Ryukyu mouse). Its description in RNAcentral is "RIKEN cDNA 4933427I22 gene (MGP_CAROLIEiJ_G0005954.1)". The record is from RNAcentral. Lineage: Eukaryota; Metazoa; Chordata; Mammalia; Rodentia; Muridae.